This 67-nucleotide transfer RNA is filed under the name Neocucumis proteus. RNAcentral's name for it is "tRNA-Asp". The record is from RNAcentral. Lineage: Eukaryota; Metazoa; Echinodermata; Holothuroidea; Dendrochirotida; Cucumariidae.
AGGGUUUAAGUUUUGAAAAAUACUGGACUGUCAGACCAGAGACGUAGAGUGAAAUCUGCAGACCUUG